RNAcentral lists this ribosomal RNA (396 nucleotides) under Triticum aestivum (bread wheat). RNAcentral's name for it is "partial small subunit ribosomal RNA". The record is from RNAcentral. Lineage: Eukaryota; Viridiplantae; Streptophyta; Magnoliopsida; Poales; Poaceae.
AUGUCGAGCACUAGACGCUGGAGGGGUGGCCGAGGGGGCCGCGGCGGCUUGCCACCGCGCAAGGGCAGCCAUGACGACGAGGUCGGGAGCUCCUCCCUCCGUCCGCCAGUGAAGGAGUGGCGCAAAGUGCAGGUGCGCGAGUACAACACGCUCUCCCAUAGCGGUGGCCAGCGGGCGUGGCGGAAUUUCGACCACGUCCACAAGAUCUUCUGGCCGACAACCAAGCGCUUCCGGGAGGGCGGAGCACGCGUUCUUAGAGGCGAAGGAGGCGGUCGCCGCCAGAGAAGAAGGUGUCGCGGUGCAGCCGGAGGCGGCGAAGGAGGAGUACGACCUCACCUUCGUCCUCUCCAACUCCUUGAUGGAUUAGCAUCUCCACGUCAAGAAGGAUUGCGAUGA